ACAUGCAAGUCGAGGGGCAGCAUUUUAGUUUGCUUGCAAACUAAAGAUGGCGACCGGCGCACGGGUGAGUAACACGUAUCCAACCUGCCGAUAACUCGGGGAUAGCCUUUCGAAAGAAAGAUUAAUAUCCGAUAGUAUAUUAAAACCGCAUGGUUUUACUAUUAAAGAAUUUCGGUUAUCGAUGGGGAUGCGUUCCAUUAGUUUGUUGGCGGGGUAACGGCCCACCAAGACUACGAUGGAUAGGGGUUCUGAGAGGAAGGUCCCCCACAUUGGAACUGAGACACGGUCCAAACUCCUACGGGAGGCAGCAGUGAGGAAUAUUGGUCAAUGGACGAGAGUCUGAACCAGCCAAGUAGCGUGAAGGAUGACUGCCCUAUGGGUUGUAAACUUCUUUUAUAUGGGAAUAAAGUAUUCCACGUGUGGGAUUUUGUAUGUACCAUAUGAAUAAGGAUCGGCUAACUCCGUGCCAGCAGCCGCGGUAAUACGGAGGAUCCGAGCGUUAUCCGGAUUUAUUGGGUUUAAAGGGAGCGUAGGUGGAUUGUUAAGUCAGUUGUGAAAGUUUGCGGCUCAACCGUAAAAUUGCAGUUGAAACUGGCAGUCUUGAGUACAGUAGAGGUGGGCGGAAUUCGUGGUGUAGCGGUGAAAUGCUUAGAUAUCACGAAGAA
This 665-nucleotide ribosomal RNA is filed under the name uncultured Bacteroidales bacterium. Its description in RNAcentral is "bacterial SSU rRNA". It matches the Rfam family "Bacterial small subunit ribosomal RNA", at positions 53 to 706 of the family's 1533-position model. Lineage: Bacteria; Pseudomonadati; Bacteroidota; Bacteroidia; Bacteroidales. The record is from RNAcentral.